Non-coding RNA from Apis mellifera (honey bee), 72 nucleotides. The record is from Rfam. NCBI's taxonomy places the organism in Eukaryota, Metazoa, Arthropoda, Insecta, Hymenoptera, Apidae.
UCCGGUAUGGUCUAGUGGCUAGGAUACCUGGCUCUCACCCAGGCGGCCCGGGUUCGAUUCCCGGUACCGGAA